GAGGCAAAACAGGAAAUCAAAAUCAACUGCUUCAAUCUAACAGUUUGGAUAAAGGUCUAAUUGCAGUCGAUUUUAAAUGGCUUCGUUGGGAUUGCAGAUUUCAAUUGAACUACUGUCUAGGGCAAGGUGAAGGUUCUGUCAAGGAGACGAACCUCGUGAAUGAAACAGUCAGGUUUGCCAUGGAGUAUACUGAUGCAAGUCCUAUCGAUGAGUAUGGGUGAAAACUCCAACAACGCAGCUGGGCUUCUACCAAAUCCUGUCGCUGAUCCUCAAACUGGAAUGCGGGUAGGAUUAAUAAACUCCAUACUACUCAUUCAUGGGCGUUCCUCGAAGUCA
Papaver somniferum (opium poppy) is the source of this 336-nucleotide long non-coding RNA. RefSeq lists it as uncharacterized. NCBI's taxonomy places the organism in Eukaryota, Viridiplantae, Streptophyta, Magnoliopsida, Ranunculales, Papaveraceae. The transcript has 5 exons. The record is from RefSeq and is a predicted model, not a curated record.